Non-coding RNA from Camelina sativa (false flax), 1524 nucleotides. The record is from RefSeq and is a predicted model, not a curated record. Lineage: Eukaryota; Viridiplantae; Streptophyta; Magnoliopsida; Brassicales; Brassicaceae.
CACCGUUAAAAACAAAAACUUAUUGGAAAAAUAAGAAGCUAAUAAUUAUCAAUCGAUCAUUGAUUGAUUGCAGAGAAGCCGCGAAAGAGAUAAUCUCCAAAUCUGAGUCGUCGCAAUCCUCCGAUCCAGGUGCAAGAUUAUUGUUUUACUACCCUUCACACGAAUGACGACUUCUGUUUGUCCGUUCUCGAAAGCUGCUCGUCCUGAAGAUGCUUCUUCCACUCGAAAACAGGGCGAGAUGACUGCUUCUGGUUGCCCUUUUUCUUCUAAAGCUGCUCCUCCCGACGAUGCUUCUGCUCGGAAACAAGGCGAAACGGCUGCUUCUGGUUGAAUAAGGACACUACUGAUUCUGCAACUGUGCCUGCCAAGUGCCCUUUUGGUUAUGACUCCCAAACAUUCAAGCUUGGCCCUUUUAUCUGUAUGCUAUGUCAAUCACUUCUGUAUGAUAGCAGUAGAUGUGUACCUUGUACUCAUGUGUUUUGCAAAGUGUGCUUAUCACGGUUUAAGGACUGCCCUCUGUGCGGUGCUGACAUUGAAAGCAUUCAAGCUGAUGAAAACCUUCAAAAGAUGGUUGAUCAAUUUAUUGAAGGCCAUGCUAGAAUCAAGAGAACUGUUGUCAAUGGCACAGAACAAAGAAGAGGUCGAAAAUGAUAACACAAAAGUGAUUUACGCUGAUGUUUCCAUGGAAAGAGGUUCUUUCUUGGUGCAACAAGCUAUGAGGUGCCCAGAAAGUGCUAAAUCAAGGUUGGCAAUGUGUACCGAAGACAUUCGGGAUCAACUAGGGAGGGAGGGCAAUACACCAGAGUUAAGCUCACAGCUUGGUGCAGUCCUUGGUAUGCUUGGCGGCUGCAGCCGAGAAAUGGGAGACUCAAGCUCUGCAGUCAAUCAUUUCGAAGAGAGUAUUGAAUUCCUUAUGAAACUGCCAAUGAAUGAUUUGGAGAUUACAUAUACACUUUAUGUCUCACUCAAUAAAAUAGGAGAUCUUAAAUACUAUGACCAAGAUCUACAAAGCUGCAAGGUCAUAUUACUAUCGUGCUUUAAAUGUUAAGAACCUCUUUCCAUGGAAACAUCAGCCGAUCAGCGUAAAUCACUUUUUUUGAACCUCUAUUUGAGUUUGAUCAGGGUGCUCUAUUAACACAAAACUUGUCUGCAGAAGAACCUUUGGCCCUUGGUUUAGACACUUACUAUAAGCAGCAUUAUCUCUCAUUGGCUACUGCUGCAGCUACAAUCAAAUGGUUUCGACAUCCUCAACUUUUUUGCUUCAAGAUACAGAUUUUGGAUUAGCUCUUAGGUUAUGGAUAGUCUCUUCCAGAUACAGAUUUUGGAUACUCUUAGGUUAGUGGCUUUGCAAGAACGAUUACCGGUUCCAUUAUAAGGAAACCUAUUCAAAUUGUUUUGAUCUUUUUUUUUUCUUUCUUGUUCUAUAGAUACAAGGAAAAGGGGAACUGAACUGGUUACUCUUUAGUUUCCGGAUUAUACAGUAUGCAUGAAUGUUUUAUUUGUAGAUCGUAAGCUAUCUAUCUA